This is a long non-coding RNA of Bactrocera tryoni, 1433 nucleotides long. RefSeq lists it as uncharacterized. The record is from RefSeq and is a predicted model, not a curated record. NCBI's taxonomy places the organism in Eukaryota, Metazoa, Arthropoda, Insecta, Diptera, Tephritidae. The transcript is spliced from 6 exons.
ACUUUUGACUUCACCGCAUCAGAAGCGAUGCAAUAACGUUUAAGACCGACGGUGGAGGAAAAGUGGCUACACUUUGACUUCAGUCACCAAGCAACCAACUGUUGGAGCAACAUCGUCACAUUCAAACGGCAGCGCUUCUUCGAUGGACUCCAGGUUAUCAAUAUAUACAUACAAAUAAGGGAUUCUUCAUAACCACUUAAAUCAGAUGACUUAUGUAUGCACAUGAGAGUUUUUGCAAAAUAAGUUGUAUGAUGUGAGUUGAGGUAGCGGACCUUUGAUGUGAAAUAUCGCAUGCGAGUAAAUUGCAUCAAGAGAGCCUACACUCAUGAUUUGUCGCAAAUGUAACUAAAGCAAUAACACAACUUAAAUAUAUCAUGAAACAGCACUGAUGAUUGAGAACGAAUGAGAAGAAUAAGCACUCUCGGACAACACAAAUGAGCAUCAAUGCCAUCAAUAACGGAUCAACUCUUUAGUUUAUGAGCAAAGAAAUAAAGUGAACAAAUAUUUUGAUGCGAAAAGUUGGUGCGGAAUAUUUUAUAAUGAAAAAUUAAAUUGUGUAAUGUGUUUAUAAGUGUUUAGUGAAUAUUUUUGUGAAAUUUAAUACGUCGAGUUAGUGCGCGUUUUAAUAAUGUGAAAAUUAAAUAAUUUGUAUAGUGCUAGUGAAUAAUGUGUUAUGAAAGUUUCAAUUCUAGAAGUUUGUGCGCGUUUAAAUCGUUUUGUUGUAAGUGAAUAUGAAGGUUGCUGAGACAAGCACGAUGCGGUAUGAUCGGAAUGGCAGCAUAGCAAUCGAUGUAUAGUCUAUUAUAAGUAUGAAGUCAGUUGGCUGGAGCUGCUACGAAUCACUUCUAUCCUCGAAACUUAAUAAGCGCUGAAGAAGACAAAGAUAAAGCUGUAUAAUGAUUAAAAAGGCUAGAGUGAAGCGUUUUGGUUGCUGCAUGAUUUGCUGGAAUCCAGAAACAGGAAAUAUGUCAAGUUCGAAAAAAUCGUAGUCUUGAAACUAUAUUUAAACUGUGAAGAGCGGAAAAUUUAUUCUGACCAGUAUGCAUUAGUGUGGUCCAGAAUUUGUAAGAACUUGGCGGAUGAAAUCAGAUGCAUGUUAAGUCAUUGGAAAAGGGUUAAGUUCAUCAAACGGCCAUAUUGUUCCAGCAGAACUGUUCAACGAAACGUGAAAUAAUUCCUUUACCACUUUACAUAAUAUCAAUACACGUAUCAUUGUAUUACAUGAAAACCACGAGCCACCACUAUAAAAAAUGGAAGAAAAAGGAGUCUCCAACCGACCAACAGCAAGCGUUUAAAUGACAUUCUUAAAACGGAGAAGAUCCAAGCCUCUUCCGAGCGACUAUUGGAGUCAGGCAACAUGUAAUGUAGAUGUUAUGAUGUUAUGUUUCAUCAGUCGAUAGAAGAAUCUUGCAUUAAGCUGAUAAACAACUGUA